CUGGCUGUCGAAUCUAGGGCUGGGUGCCCCCUUCAGCCGUCGGAUCUCCAUAACGUCCAGCGAACCGGUACCGGGCCCGGCUGGGCCGCAGCCCGAAAGCGGCCCAAAAUCAGCCCAGGUAAAAAAAAAAGGAAAGAAGAAAGGGAAGGAAGCCUGCUGACCUGAAGACGGCCCAGGCACGGGCCCAGUUUGCGCCCGUGCGUGCGUGGCGGCCCAGCUGGCCCACGCGGCCGACUGGGUUCAGAAAAGUUGCAAAGAAGCCAAAAACCUCAGGGAAAUUACGGAUGAGUCCUCAGGAAUUUCGGGGAGACCCUCGGGGUCCCUGAUUUUUGCAAACUAGUCC
RNAcentral lists this long non-coding RNA (343 nucleotides) under Brachypodium distachyon (stiff brome). Its description in RNAcentral is "long non-coding RNA (BDIS_LNC002008)". Lineage: Eukaryota; Viridiplantae; Streptophyta; Magnoliopsida; Poales; Poaceae. The record is from RNAcentral.